CAGCCGCCGCGGGAAUACCAGCACCUCGAGUGGUCAGGAGGUUUAUUGGGCCUAAAGCAUCCGUAGCCGGUUGCAUAAGUUUUCGGUUAAAUCUAUGCGCUUAACGUAUAGGCCGCCGAAAAUACUGUGCAGCUAGGGGGUGGGAGAGGUACACGGUACUCGAUAGGAAGGGGUAAAAUCCUUUGAUCUAUUGAUGACCACCUGUGGCGAAGGCGGUGUACCAGAACACGUUCGACGGUGAGGGAUGAAAGCUGGGGGAGCAAACCGGAUUAGAUACCCGCGUAGUCCCUGUCUCUUAUAC
This 301-nucleotide ribosomal RNA is filed under the name uncultured bacterium. Its description in RNAcentral is "partial 16S ribosomal RNA". It matches the Rfam family "Archaeal small subunit ribosomal RNA", at positions 459 to 760 of the family's 1478-position model. The record is from RNAcentral.